AAUUUUAUAAGAAGACGAGAAGACCCUAUAGAGUUUUAUAGAUUUAAUUUUAUUUAUUUUGGAUUUUAUCAUAAUAAUAUGAAUUUCUAUUUUGUUGGGGUGACGCGAGGAUUGAAUAAACUUCUUGUUAUUAAAACAUUGAUUAGUGAUUAAUUGAUCCUGAUAUUUUGGAUUAUAAGAAUAAAUUACCUUAGGGAUAACAGCGUAAUUUUUUUGGAGAGUUCUUAUCAAUAAAGAAGAUUGCGACCUCGAUGUUGGAUUAAAGUUAAGUUUCGGUGCAGAAGCUGGAAUUUUA
Molecule: ribosomal RNA, 295 nt
Filed under: Prionotolytta melanura
Lineage: Eukaryota; Metazoa; Arthropoda; Insecta; Coleoptera; Meloidae
Description: partial large subunit ribosomal RNA
Source: RNAcentral